UAGUCUUGAAUUUUAGCACCUGGCUCUCAUUGAGUCAUGCUAAUCUCUCUAGCAAAGUGGUUGCUCCGCAGGCCUCUUGGAUUCCUCUUCUGAAAAUGUUCUUUUCUUCUGUGUCACAUUUCCAGGCUUCAACAUUUUUACAGUCUGCUUCCAUUUUAUUAUGAGUUCCAAUUGUAAGUCUUUCCUUUGCUCCCGUAUCUGACUAUAGAUUGUUAGAAGCAGCCACAUCACCUCUUGAAUGCUUUGCUGCUUAGAAUUUUUUUUUCCCCAGAUACCCUAAGUCAUCAUCCUUAAAUUCAGCCUUCCACAAAGUCUUAGGUCAUGGAUAGCAGCCAAGUUCUUUGAUGGGGCAUAACAAGGGUAACCUUUGUUCCAUUUCCCAAUAAGUUCCUCAUUGCCAUUUGAGAUCUCAUCAGCCUGGCCACCACUGUCCAUAUUUCUGUCAGCAUCUUGAUCACAACCAUUAAACCAGUCUCUAAGAAGUUCCAAACAUUCCCUCAUCUUCUUGUCUUUCUCUGAACCCUCCAAAGUCUUCUAACCUCUGCCCAUUACCCAGUUCCAAAGCCAUUUUCACAUUUUCAGGUAUCUUUAUAGAAUUGCCCGACUCCUUGAUAUCAAUUUUCUGUAUUAGUCUGUAGUGCAUUGUUAUAAAGGAAUAUCUGAGACUAUCCAACAAGAGGUGCCAGGACAGAGUACCUGGAUUAUUUUUCUUCACAGUCCUAGUGGCAGUAGAAUGUGUGACAAUAUGUAUGGGAAUAUCAGGCAGCUUUUACUGAUGGCAAAAGGCAAAGGGAGGGCAGACAUGUCACAUGGUGAAAGUGGAAGUGGGAGAGAUGCCAGGCUGUUUCACACAACCAGCUGUCAACAUGAACUAACAGAGCAAAUCUCACUUGUUACCAUGGGGAUGGCACCAAGCACUUCAUGAAUGAUCCACUCCUCUGAUUGAAAUACCUCCCCCUAGGCCCCACCUCCAACAUGUAGGAUCACAUUUCAACAAGAGAUUUGGAGGGGGCAGAUAUCCAAAUUGUGUCAAAUGGGUUGCUUGGAUCUUCUUGUAAUAGAUAAUUUCCACUCUAAUCUAUUUCCAUGAAUUUCUUUCUAGAUUUGAUGUCAUUAUAGCUGUAAUCUCCCAACUCUCGCAAUACUGUUCGUGCAUCAUAUAACCAAUAUUCUGUAAUGCAAUUGGCCUUGAUAAUCCAAUAUUUAUUAUGAAGUCCUGGUGUUUUCAUCUUGCUGCUGGCUCGAUGCUGCCCAAAUCCAAUACGUAGAUCCUGAGCUCAGGCCUGAGCUGUAUGUACCUUGUGAGUCCAGGCCCUCCAUUAUCAAUACGUAGUGAUAUGAUUUUCCGACUUCAGAAAACAUAAACAAAGACAAGGCUAUAGUCAUCAAUUUUCUCUAUAACUAUUCCAAAAAGCAAGAACAAUACUCUUAGCCAAGCUUGUCUAGAUGAAGGCUUUUUUCUCUCCUUGGCUCUUUUUUGCUCCUGGUUUUGUCUCAUGUUACGAGAAAGUCCUGGCAACUAACACUCACCUUAAGGAAAAAAUACAGUUCCCUACCCUGCCUCAUGUGGAAAAUCCAAUUUCCUCAUAGCCAAUGGCUUUUAUACAAGGCAAACACACCAGAUUCCUGUAAUCCUGGCUUUGUUCCUGUAGGCAAGGAAGAUCUUUUUUUCUUCUCCAACAUGGGUUUUUUUUUUUUUUUUUUUUUGAAUGUACAAUCACUUAUAAUUACUUUAGAAUAUUUGCCAGUAAGGUGACUUUUAAUAAUGCCUUUUGGCCCAACUUUAAAACAUUCGCUGAGUCAAAAAAUAGUAAUACCAAAAUGAAAGUGGAAGUGGAGGAACCAAUUACUGAGAAUUUAAUGCCUUGGCCUGUUCAUUUGUAAUUUUAAGUUUUUUUUUUUUUUUUUUUUUAAUGAGAAUCUAAUAUGUGCUAGUAAUCUUUAGCACCCAAUAGAUUUUCCAAUUCUACCAUAUAUACACACAUAUAUAUAUAUAUAGGAAAGAGAGAGAGGGGGUGGGGGAGAGAAGGACAUUGCCUUUGGGAAAAUAACAAUGUGUUUAAGAAAGAACUGGGGACAUAAAUUGUACAUGUAGUAAAUAAGUGUCAUGAGAGGCUUUUAGACAUCAGAAGAAACCGCCACUGGCAGCUGGGUUGAUAUAUGAAGGUUUCAUAAAGGGAGGAUAGGGGAGCCCAAAGAUAUUAAAGGCAAACACCAUCUAAUUGCCUGGAAAUUAGAUAAAGGAUUUGCCGUGGCCAUUUUACACUGGAAAAGUGAUUAAAACAUGUAAGAACAGUCAGUUCUGAGUAACUAAACCAAGCUACUACUUUAACCAUAUUCCAUCCCUGGGCACUUAAGAUGGACUUACUGCUGGGAGAUAGAAAACAAAACAAAACAAAACAAAACAAAAUCUGCAAUGUGUUUCAACAGACUCACAUAGUGUAUGGUCAUGGUGACCAGAAGACAAGGCAGCAAGAAAUAGAUUUAAAUCUAUGUUUAUUUCAACAAAGUUUCAGAAUCUGCUUAGAGGAAAAUAAAGUUUUUUUUCACAUGACAAUUAGAUGUUCUGUGUGUGCCCCUGGGUACACAUUUGUAUCUAUAUUUUACAUAAAGCCCAAAUAUCUUUUCUGAUUAAAAUUUUUACUUUUCAAUGGG
Non-coding RNA from Macaca mulatta (Rhesus monkey), 2655 nucleotides. The record is from RefSeq and is a predicted model, not a curated record. NCBI's taxonomy places the organism in Eukaryota, Metazoa, Chordata, Mammalia, Primates, Cercopithecidae.